CUCGCUUGCAAAAGUCGGACUGGAAUUGAACGAGUGUGGAUUCUGGUAGCGGUGACGGUCGGAACAUUGCAGAAAAAUGGAGAAUGAAAGGGGAGAAGGAGACUUGGUUGUGAAACCACAAAAGACAGGAAGUCAUACAAGGAAAGAGAUUAGCGAAGAAGAUUUGGGACACCGAGAUGACUGAGGAGAGGCAAAAGGACUACAUUGAGAUGUGACGUAUGGCAAAGGUAAAGGUGGUGAAGGCUAAACGAGCCAUCUGACGACAUGUACACCAGGUUGGACACAAAUGAAGGAGAAAAUGAUCUCUAUAUGUUGACCAGACUGAGGAAUAGAGAUGUGAAGGAUGUGCAGCAGGUGUCCAUGUAAAUGCUGCAUACCCAUGGAAACAACAAAAGAAAGUUUUUGUUGACAUGAGAGUCAACAUAUUCACCAGAAUAUGGCAGAUUAUCCAGAUCAUUCGCUGCAGUGCAUGGCAGAGCACCCAGGAUUUAAUGGAAGGUGUCUGAACCCAUGGGUACCUGAGGUUGCCUAUUUCCAGUUCAGGCAACACUGUCAGCAGCGACUGGAUUUUACACAACAUGAGUAAAAGCUCUUUUAAAAAACAAUAAAAAUAACAUUUCUCCUAAUCAGCCCAUCUUUUUCCCAUUUACAUCAAGAUUUUUCUAAAUAAAUAAUAUUUUUUAUUACUAUUGUUCCUGCUAAAAGCAGCAUUUGUCCAAUCAAUGCUUGUUCAAACAAAGCCCCAUUCUGCAAAAUUGUCAUAUGAGUAUAUUUUCUGAUUUUCAGGUUAAUGCGACAUGCUGCUUAUUGACAGCUUGAAAUUGUGUUGGGCAAUUGUAGGCAGAAAUAACCACGUGCCAUUUCCAUACUGCUGUGUCAAAGAUUUGAGACAGAUGGCCAAGAGUACAUCGGAUUUAAAUGGUCUACAUCCUACAUAUUUUUAUUUUUUCUUUGUGUAAAUGUUGAUCU
Molecule: long non-coding RNA, 969 nt
Organism: Syngnathoides biaculeatus (alligator pipefish)
Lineage: Eukaryota; Metazoa; Chordata; Actinopteri; Syngnathiformes; Syngnathidae
Exons: 3
Source: RefSeq, a predicted model, not a curated record